CAUAUCCGAUCUACAUAUUAGCAUCUUCCAUAAUCCUCAAUAGAAAAAUUUAGCUCAACUAUUUAUAACUCAAUUUAGUAUUUCCAAAAAAUAAUUCAUUUCUACAAGAAAGUAAAUGAAAACAGAGAAAAAUAGAACUAGUGAGAGAAAAUGAGCUGAUGUAGAUUAUUAAAAGCCCAAAAAAUCCUUGAUUCCUCUCCUUUUCUUUUUGUAGAAAACCUCCUCUUUUCUUCUACUAAAACCUGCUAUCAUUCCCUUUUCAGCCCUAAAAGAAGCCUAUUUAAGCCUCUCCAUGUAGCCCUCAGAUCUUUCAGAUCGGAGGGUGUAAAAAUCUCCUAAUCUUACGUGGCAGUGCUGCGGUGCCAUGGAUUCUGCCUGGAGUGCUUAUUGCCAGACCUGGACAACACUGCAGCGCUAGGAGCUUGGAGUUGCAGCGCCGUGCUUGCUGUUUCAUUCCUUGCUCCUUCAGCUUCAAUGCUUUCCCCUACUGCAGUUCAGUCACUUCCCGUGUGAUUUUGGUCAUGAUCUAAUCAAAACUAGUCGAAGUGAUCGACAUAAAAGUUGUAGGUCUUUUGCUUAGCUUUUCGAUGAUCCAAAAAUCACAACGAUCAGGCACCUGUAACUCGAGUUACGCUUAGAAAACCACAGCUUGUUCAUCACACAUAUGCAACAAUCCACCCUUUGCACAAUUCACUGCUACUUCAGCCCCUUUCAUUCAUGGACC
Molecule: long non-coding RNA, 724 nt
Filed under: Theobroma cacao (cacao)
Lineage: Eukaryota; Viridiplantae; Streptophyta; Magnoliopsida; Malvales; Malvaceae
Description: long non-coding RNA (TCAC_LNC005765)
Source: RNAcentral